ACCUGCUCUAUGAUAUUAAAUUAAAUGGCCGCGAUAUUUUGAUCGUGCAAAGGUAGCAUAAUCAUUUGUUUUUUAAUUAAGAACUGGAAUGAAGGGUUGAACGAGAAAAAAACUGUCUCAAUUUAAUUUAAUUAGAAUUUUAUAUUUAAGUUAAAAAGCUUAGAUUAUUUUAAAAGACGAGAAGACCCUAUAGAGUUUUAUAUUGAAAUAUUUUUAAGAGUAAUUUAGAAUUAUUUUUUUUUAUAAUUUUUUUAGUAUUUGGUUGGGGUGAUUGAAAAAUUUAUUUAACUUUUUAUUUAUUAAUUUCAUUAAUUUA
This 316-nucleotide ribosomal RNA is filed under the name Helictopleurus steineri. Its description in RNAcentral is "partial 16S ribosomal RNA". The record is from RNAcentral. Lineage: Eukaryota; Metazoa; Arthropoda; Insecta; Coleoptera; Scarabaeidae.